RNAcentral lists this non-coding RNA (28 nucleotides) under Rattus norvegicus (Norway rat). The record is from RNAcentral. Lineage: Eukaryota; Metazoa; Chordata; Mammalia; Rodentia; Muridae.
UGAGACCAGAUGGAACCUACAAGAGAGG